AGGAAGAAUACUUCUCACCGUUUCAGGAAUUAAGAAUCAGAUGUAUGCGGAUGGGUUCUUGCAGAACGGGAAUGACAGACUUGGACUCGCCUGGGAUAUACGUAAGGACUCUCAAAACCCCUAGCAAGCACAAAUGCCCUGUCUGCGACAGCCAGUACUUGGUGUGUGGGCUUUUUAAGGCACCGUUACGUACAGAAAGAAUUCACAAGAGCACAACAGAAUUCAAUCAGCCUGCCGUCCAGGGAUGGAUGAGGCUGGAACGUUUCAACCUCGGGUGCUUGGAAGGUCGAACACUGGUCCCUUACCGAUAUCCAAUCUCGUUUUCUUCGUGGACAUGAGUUACAUCGACAGGCUAGAGGCGUGUUCCUUAUAGAUAUACAUGUUUGAAGGACCAAUUAAAUGUCA
Ornithodoros turicata is the source of this 405-nucleotide long non-coding RNA. RefSeq lists it as uncharacterized. The transcript has 4 exons. The record is from RefSeq and is a predicted model, not a curated record. Lineage: Eukaryota; Metazoa; Arthropoda; Arachnida; Ixodida; Argasidae.